AGUCUGACCGAGCAACGCCGCGUGAGUAAAGAAGGUUUUCGGAUCGUAAAGCUCUGUUGUAAGAGAAGAACGAGUGUGAGAGUGGAAAGUUCACACUGUGACGGUAUCUUACCAGAAAGGGACGGCUAACUACGUGCCAGCAGCCGCGGUAAUACGUAGGUCCCGAGCGUUGUCCGGAUUUAUUGGGCGUAAAGCGAGCGCAGGCGGUUAGAUAAGUCUGAAGUUAAAGGCUGUGGCUUAACCAUAGUACGCUUUGGAAACUGUUUAACUUGAGUGCAAGAGGGGAGAGUGGAAUUCCAUGUGUAGCGGUGUAAUGCGUAGAUAUAUGGAGGAACACCGGUGGCGAAAGCGGCUCUCUGGCUUGUAAGCGGCCCCGGAGGCUAAAAAAGCGUGGGAACCCACAGAUGAUAUACAUUACCCUGGUAGUCCACGCCGUAAAACGAUGAAGUGCUAGGUGUUAGACCCUUUCCGGGGUUUAGUGCCGCAGCUAACGCAUUAAGCACUCCGCCUGGGGGAGUACGAAC
This 524-nucleotide ribosomal RNA is filed under the name Streptococcus sp. oral taxon H50. RNAcentral describes it as "bacterial SSU rRNA". It matches the Rfam family "Bacterial small subunit ribosomal RNA", at positions 380 to 887 of the family's 1533-position model. The record is from RNAcentral. Lineage: Bacteria; Bacillati; Bacillota; Bacilli; Lactobacillales; Streptococcaceae.